CGUCAAAGAAUACAUUGCCCCUGGGCAAAGGCACAACCUUGUGAUCAGCUUGACUGCUGUCAGGUCUCGGGGCUUAAAUGUAUCUUUACUCUAAAGAGAAAGAUGCACACUAGUGGUGCCAAUGGUGAUAAUAAUCAAGAGUGUUUUCUAAUGAGCACUAUUGAUUAGCAUCACCGAGAACCGAUACUUUACGUGGUCUAUGAUGAAGCGGUCCUUGUUUGUUUUUUCUAUACGUUUUUUAUUUAUGCUUCCAGACACUCAUCCGGUAACAGUUUAAUCAAAACCUCCUAACAUUGAAGAAAUCGUGCUGAACAGGAACACGCAUCGACGUACAAGGAUACAACAAAAUCUUAUUAAACCCGUUUCUUUUACUAAUAAUACCACUAUUUACUAAUUUACUAAUUAUAUCAUUCUCUUUUCGUCAACAAGCGUCAUUUCAGGAUUAGGAUUUUCAUUAUAGCAUUGAAUAUACUAUAAGAAUGCCGUCAGACUAAAAAAACGUGUGACUAAUCGCUAUCUCUAUUUGUAGGUACCUGUAACCGUGAAUAGGAAUAGUAACUCAUGAGAAAAAUACUAGGAUAUAAAUCCUAGUAAUGACAUAUUAUCGGCGCGGUAAAAAAUAGAAACAGUUUAUUCGCUGAGGUUGAAUUUUUGUAAGUGUAAGUGAUUAUAGUAUAGUCUGUACUUGUGAUUGCUGUGCGAUGCGCUUCAUUGUUGCAGGACAUUGUUCUCAUUAUUAUACGGCCUUCAGCCCUCGGCGGGAUCACCUUAAGAAGAUAUAUGAAUAAUUCCGUAGCUGGUUUUGAUCAUGUUACUAAGAAAAUAGUGAUAAUGUGAUAAUAUAGUGAGAUGACGUUAUUGUGUCGAAUAAUUUUGUGUGGUUAAUGGUAGUAAGCUACUAAGGUUGUGAUUAUUAGAGUGAUGAUAGUUUGUGAUAAUUUGAAUAUUAGUGAUAUAAGAAACGAGAAUCCUACUUUUAUUUUAAUGAAGAUAAUUAUAUUGGUGUUGAUGUGAUUUAUUUUUUACAGUGAUUAUUUUUAAUGAGAAGUUUUAUACUUUAAACUUGAUGAAGCAGUAGUAUUGUGUUGUGGCUGGGUUAUAGAUGUGAUGUUAAUAAUAAAAUUAAUAUGGAUAAUGGUGACGUUGUUAGUAGAAAUUCUGUUAAUAAUGAAGAUGGUGAUAUCAAUACCAGUGAAUAGUGCUAUGAAGUAAUCUAAUAGUUAUCAAGUGAAGUGAUAGUGUGAAAAGAACGUUUCCCACCUUCUACCGUAACCUUCUGAGACAGAUCGCAACAGUGUCUUCUUGGAAGCCAUGUUUCCGUGCACGUCUGGUGAACUGCUUCAGAAGGAUUACGUCCUCUUUACUAUCUAAAGUCUAGUUUAGAGCUUUGAACAGUAUUCACUGUACGGCUAGCAACAUAAAAAAAAAAAAAAAAA
RNAcentral lists this long non-coding RNA (1436 nucleotides) under Aedes aegypti (yellow fever mosquito). RNAcentral describes it as "lncRNA AAEL020765". Lineage: Eukaryota; Metazoa; Arthropoda; Insecta; Diptera; Culicidae. The record is from RNAcentral.